AACGCGUAGGAAUCUACCCAGUAGUGGGGGACAACCUGGGGAAACCCAGGCUAAUACCGCAUACGCCCUACGGGGGAAAGCGGGGGCCUUAUGGCCUCGCGCUAUUGAGAUGAGCCUGCGUUGGAUUAGCUAGUUGGUGGGGUAAAGGCCUACCAAGGCGACGAUCCAUAGCUGGUCUGAGAGGACGAUCAGCCACACUGGGACUGAGACACGGCCCAGACUCCUACGGGAGGCAGCAGUGGGGAAUAUUGCGCAAUGGGCGAAAGCCUGACGCANCCAUGCCGCGUGUGUGAAGAAGGCUCUAGGGUUGUAAAGCACUUUCAAUUGGGAGAAAAAGCCAGUGGUUAAUACCCGUUGGUCUUGAUGUUACCUUUAGAAGAAGCACCGGCNUAACUCCGUGCCAGCAGCCGCGGUAAUACGGAGGGUGCNAGCGUUAAUCGGAAUUACUGGGCGUAAAGCGCGCGUAAGCGGUUUGUUAAGUCGGAUGUGAAAGCCCC
RNAcentral lists this ribosomal RNA (497 nucleotides) under uncultured bacterium. RNAcentral describes it as "bacterial SSU rRNA". It matches the Rfam family "Bacterial small subunit ribosomal RNA", at positions 112 to 604 of the family's 1533-position model. The record is from RNAcentral.